GCUCAGUCCUAUGUAGUUGAGGUGUACGUGGCUGUUGAAAACAAAAUAACUACAAACUACAUGAACUACGUGCCAUAUAGCUACACUGGUAACAGAAGACAACUGGCUCAAGACAACAUUAGCAAAGAUGUGCAGUAUGCCUUGGCUGAGGUGAACAAGAUGUUGUCUACCUUGAGCAUCUACGGACUGAAUAUUGACCUACGUCUACGUAAACUGGAUUUUCUG
Physella acuta is the source of this 225-nucleotide long non-coding RNA. RefSeq lists it as uncharacterized. Lineage: Eukaryota; Metazoa; Mollusca; Gastropoda; Physidae. The record is from RefSeq and is a predicted model, not a curated record.